This 70-nucleotide transfer RNA is filed under the name Amphimedon queenslandica. It matches the Rfam family "tRNA". Rfam says of the family: Transfer RNA (tRNA) molecules are approximately 80 nucleotides in length. The record is from Rfam by way of RNAcentral. Lineage: Eukaryota; Metazoa; Porifera; Demospongiae; Haplosclerida; Niphatidae.
UUGUCUGUAAUUUAAAGGAAAAAUGUCCGACUUCGGAAUGGAGUAUGGGGUUUGAUUCCUCCCAGGUAAU